Molecule: ribosomal RNA, 301 nt
Filed under: uncultured bacterium
Lineage: Bacteria
Description: partial 16S ribosomal RNA
Rfam family: Bacterial small subunit ribosomal RNA
Source: RNAcentral
CAGUCGCCGCGGGAAUACAGAGGGUGCGAGCGUUAAUCGGAUUUACUGGGCGUAAAGCGUGCGUAGGCGGCUAUGCAAGACAGAUGUGAAAUCCCCAGGCUCAACCUGGGAACUGCAUUUGUGACUGCAUGGCUAGAGUACGGUAGAGGGGGAUGGAAUUCCGCGUGUAGCAGUGAAAUGCGUAGAUAUGCGGAGGAACACCGAUGGCGAAGGCAAUCCCCUGGACCUGUACUGACGCUCAUGCACGAAAGCGUGGGGAGCAAACAGGAUUAGAUACCCGCGUAGUCCCUGUCUCUUAUAA